This 386-nucleotide transfer-messenger RNA is filed under the name Helicobacter pylori. It matches the Rfam family "transfer-messenger RNA". Rfam says of the family: Bacterial tmRNA, also known as 10Sa RNA or SsrA, is named for its dual tRNA and mRNA-like properties. Its role is to liberate the mRNA from a stalled ribosome. To accomplish this part of the tmRNA is used as a reading frame that ends in a translation stop signal. The record is from RNAcentral. RNAcentral also lists the same sequence under 1 other name. Lineage: Bacteria; Pseudomonadati; Campylobacterota; Epsilonproteobacteria; Campylobacterales; Helicobacteraceae.
GGGGCUGACUUGGAUUUCGACAGAUUUCUUGUCGCACAGACAGCAUGCCAAGUGCUGCUUGUAAAACAGCAACAAAAAUAACUGUAAACAACACAGAUUACGCUCCAGCUUACGCUAAAGCUGCGUGAGUUAAUCUCCUUUUGGAGCUGGACUGAUUAGAAUUUCUAGCGUUUUAAUCACUCCAUAACCUUAAGCUAGACGCUUUUAAAAGGUGGUUCGCCUUUUAAACUAAGAAACAAGAACUCUUGAAACUAUCUCAAGGUUUUAGAAAGUUGGACCAGAGCUAGUUUUAAGGCUAAAAAACCAACCAAUUUUCUAAGCAUUGUAGAAGUUUGUGUUUAGGGCAAGAUUUUUGGACUGGGGUUCGAUUCCCCACAGCUCCACCA